This 443-nucleotide ribosomal RNA is filed under the name uncultured bacterium. RNAcentral describes it as "partial 16S ribosomal RNA". It matches the Rfam family "Bacterial small subunit ribosomal RNA", at positions 338 to 795 of the family's 1533-position model. The record is from RNAcentral.
CCUACGGGAGGCAGCAGUGGGGGAUAUUGGACAAUGGGGGGAACCCUGAUCCAGCGACGCCGCGUGAGUGAAGAAGUAUUUCGGUAUGUAAAGCUCUGUCAGCAGGGAAGAAAGAAAUGACGGUACCUGAGCAAGCAGCCCCGGCUAACUACGUGCCAGCAGCCGCGGUAAUACGUAGGGGGCCAGCGUUAUCCGGAAUUACUGGGUGUAAAGGGAGCGUAGACGGUUAAGUUAGUCUGGAGUGAAAGGCCGGGGCCCAACCCCGGGACUGCUCUGGAAACUAUUGAACUUGAGUGCAGGAGAGGUAAGCGGAAUUCCUAGUGUAGCGGUGAAAUGCGUAGAUAGUAGGAGGAACACCAGUGGCGAAGGCGGCUUACUGGACUGUAACUGACGUUGAGGCUCGAAAGCGUGGGGAGCAAACAGGAUUAGAUACCCGGGUAGUC